GAUGAACGCUGGCGGCGUGCCUAAUACAUGCAAGUCGAGCGAACGGACGAGAAGCUUGCUUCUCUGAUGUUAGCGGCGGACGGGUGAGUAACACGUGGAUAACCUACCUAUAAGACUGGGAUAACUUCGGGAAACCGGAGCUAAUACCGGAUAAUAUUUUGAACCGCAUGGUUCAAAAGUGAAAGACGGUCUUGCUGUCACUUAUAGAUGGAUCCGCGCUGCAUUAGCUAGUUGGUAAGGUAACGGCAUACCAAGGCAACGAUGCAUAGCCGACCUGAGAGGGUGAUCGGCCACACUGGAACUGAGACACGGUCCAGACUCCUACGGGAGGCAGCAGUAGGGAAUCUUCCGCAAUGGGCGAAAGCCUGACGGAGCAACGCCGCGUGAGUGAUGAAGGUCUUCGGAUCGUAAAACUCUGUUAUUAGGGAAGAACAUAUGUGUAAGUAACUGUGCACAUCUUGACGGUACCUAAUCAGAAAGCCACGGCUAACUACGUG
RNAcentral lists this ribosomal RNA (497 nucleotides) under uncultured bacterium. Its description in RNAcentral is "partial 16S ribosomal RNA". It matches the Rfam family "Bacterial small subunit ribosomal RNA", at positions 28 to 507 of the family's 1533-position model. The record is from RNAcentral.